RNAcentral lists this ribosomal RNA (440 nucleotides) under uncultured bacterium. RNAcentral describes it as "partial 16S ribosomal RNA". It matches the Rfam family "Bacterial small subunit ribosomal RNA", at positions 338 to 795 of the family's 1533-position model. The record is from RNAcentral.
CCUACGGGGGGCAGCAGUAGGGAAUAUUGCGCAAUGGGGGAAACCCUGAAGCAGCAACGCCGCGUGGAGGAUGAAGGUUUUCGGAUUGUAAACUCCUUUUGUUAGAGAAGAUAAUGACGGUAUCUAACGAAUAAGCACCGGCUAACUCCGUGCCAGCAGCCGCGGUAAUACGGAGGGUGCAAGCGUUACUCGGAAUCACUGGGCGUAAAGAGCGCGUAGGCGGGAUAGCAAGUCAGAUGUUAAAUCCUAUGGCUUAACCAUAGAACUGCAUUUGAAACUGUUAUUCUAGAGUAUGGGAGAGGUAGGUGGAAUUCUUGGUGUAGGGGUAAAAUGCGUAGAGAUCAAGAGGAAUACUCAUUGCGAAGGCGACCUGCUAGAACAUAACUGACGCUGAUGCGCGAAAGCGUGGGGAGCAAACAGGAUUAGAUACCCCAGUAGUC